This 499-nucleotide ribosomal RNA is filed under the name uncultured bacterium. Its description in RNAcentral is "partial 16S ribosomal RNA". It matches the Rfam family "Bacterial small subunit ribosomal RNA", at positions 28 to 507 of the family's 1533-position model. The record is from RNAcentral.
GACGAACGCUGGCGGCGUGCUUAACACAUGCAAGUCGAACGGGCCCGCUCUCUUUUUUGGGGGUGGGUUGAGUGGCGAACGGGUGAGUAUCACGUGAGUAACCUGCCCCCUGCUCCUGGAUAACUGCUUGAAAGGGCGGCUAAUACGGGGUGUGCCGGCUGGUCCGCAUGGGCCUGGUCGGGAUAGUUUCAUCUUCGGGUGUUUCGGUGGGGGAUGGGCUCGCGGCCUAUCAGCUUGUUGGUGGGGUGAUGGCCCACCAAGGCGGUGACGGGUAGCCGGCCUGAGAGGGUGGGCGGCCACACUGGGACUGAGACACGGCCCAGACUCCUGCGGGAGGCAGCAGUGGGGGGUAUUGCAUAAUGGGCGGAAGCCUGAUGCAGCGACGUCGCGUGAGGGAUGGAGGCCUUCGGGUUGUGAACCUCUUUCUCCGGUGGUGAAGGCCCUGUCCGUUGCGGCGGGGUUGACGGUAGCCGGGUAUGAAGCGCCGGCUAACUACGUG